Acanthopagrus latus (yellowfin seabream) is the source of this 1255-nucleotide long non-coding RNA. RefSeq lists it as uncharacterized. The record is from RefSeq and is a predicted model, not a curated record. Lineage: Eukaryota; Metazoa; Chordata; Actinopteri; Spariformes; Sparidae. The transcript has 5 exons.
UCUUUGUCUGGUCAUUGUUUUCUGUUUCUGAAUGCUCUUGUCCAUGUUCUUGUCCAUGCUCCUGCCCCGGUUUGGUAUGUUUUGGUUUCAAGAUUUUCAUGUUUAAGUUGAACUUUGAUUUUUUUCUUUGUACUUUGUCUUGCUGUUAAGUUGCUACUUUGUCUGGUUGUUUCAGUUGUUACUUUGCUUUUUGUCCCGUUUUGUCUGCCUUGGCUUUUGCUUGCAUUCGGCUUUUGCUAUAUUAAAGCUCGCCUUUUGUUCUCCUUACCUUUGCCUCCCGUAUUUACUGCGUUUGGGUCCACCCUCCCCUUUCCAUAGUUUUCCCUUUUAUCCCGACCUGACAGCUUGUGUGAAAGCCUUUGGAACAAAGUCAUUAUUGCGCCGAAAACGCCGCGGGAAUAAGACCAGCCUGACAAGCAUACAGGGUCAGUGAACACUACAUCACAUUCUGAAGAGGCCGGGACAGAGCUUGUGGCUCUGCAUAGAGAAGUGGAUGAGGCAGUGCAGACGCUUGUGCAGCUUGCCGCAACACCCUGUGAUGAGGUCCAGCUAGCCCCCGGAUUUGUGAUCACAACUUCUCAAACAGUGGUUUAGUGUACUACAGACUGGUGCAGCCACAGCUCCUGAGACCCACCAGGAGGGAUGUGGAGGAUGAGAUGGAGGGAGAAGAUAGAUUCUUCCUUUCCACCUCAGGGAGGCAGAUCCACAAUGCCUCCGAUGACCUGAACCGGCUGCACACAAGUGGAAAACGGCUCUCCUGAGAGUCACCUCAAUAUCCCACAGCUUGUUGAAAAUGCAGAUGGCAGAGUGUUAGUCAAGACCUUCGACUGGCAGAAGCAUUUGAGUCCCAAGUACGAAAGCUCCCAUAGAUCGAGUUAUCAGCACUUCAGCUUUGAUGCCAAGAGACCAGGUGUGGUACUUGCAAGAACUCACUGUGAUGCAGAACCUGUUGAAUUCCAGCAACUGUGAAAUUCAGCGGUUCUGCCACCUGUUGACAGUCUUUGUGUCCUGGCCCCACCUGGACUGAUCAUCAACAGGCAGGUCACAGCACAGAAGAGUAUGCAGAUGUGACGUCACCAAAUAAUGGGAUUCUCCUUCACACCCUCUUCACAAUGUGCUGAUCAGCCACAGACUGAUCUAAACUGCACUUCUAGAUUUCAAUUUAAAUUUCACUUAUAGAGGACCAAAACGAUACGCAUGUCGCAUUCACGCUUUACAGAGUGUUAAACAGAUGUGGCUGUAGAUGUGGUUUAUA